CACUUCCAGGGAUGAAGGAGGAAAGACGUAGUCAUCUGCUUGCCCCAGCUCACAGCCGGACGCUGCGGCUUUUGGAAAAUAGCCACCAUGAAGCCGGUGGCCCUGGUCCCCCUCUCGAGGUAUCAUAAAGCCAUUCAUAACGGCAUAAACGCCUGACAACACUCCCUGAUGCCAGCCCGGGCAUCAAGUUGAAGCCCUUUCAAGCGAUCAUCGGCUCCCUGGGAAAUGCCUUUUCUCUGUUACCUGGCACAGCCGAACAUCAAGAAGAAACGUGGAAAACAUCACACUGACCCCCCAGAAAAAUGAAAGAAAAGUACGGAAGAGACCAAUUCCCACCCUUGCUAUAGACGGAAUAAGUAUGUGCGUUUGUGAACCUUAAGUGUUCAUCUAAAUAUGUUGCUUCAACGGAGAUCCGCUUGUGGAUACAGACACACGAAAAUACACGAGACCACGCUCUAUUUUAAGGAAUUGCUGAAGAGUGUUGAACACUCAAACCCACCGCACAGCACCCUCGCAGCUAAGAGCACAAUUGAAUGAAACCAGCGGAUUCAUUUAUUUUAACCUCCACUGGAGCUGUCCCAAAAAAG
This 587-nucleotide long non-coding RNA is filed under the name Homo sapiens (human). RNAcentral describes it as "non-protein coding lnc-MTHFSD-62:3". The record is from RNAcentral. Lineage: Eukaryota; Metazoa; Chordata; Mammalia; Primates; Hominidae.